RNAcentral lists this ribosomal RNA (774 nucleotides) under uncultured Neocallimastigales. Its description in RNAcentral is "partial large subunit ribosomal RNA". It matches the Rfam family "Eukaryotic large subunit ribosomal RNA", at positions 22 to 621 of the family's 3401-position model. The record is from RNAcentral. Lineage: Eukaryota; Fungi; Neocallimastigomycota; Neocallimastigomycetes; Neocallimastigales.
AUAUCAGUCAUGCAUAGCAUAUCAAUAAGCGGAGGAAAAGAAACUAACAAGGAUUCCCUUAGUAACGGCGAGUGAAGCGGGAAGAGCUCAAAUUUGAAAUCUUCAAGGUUUUACCUUGACGAAUUGUAGUUUAAAGAAGUGUUUUCUGUUGAAGUUUUGGUAAAAGUUCUUUGGAAUAGGACAUCAUAGAGGGUGAGAAUCCCGUAUUUGACCAUUACUUUCAGCUUUGUGAUACACUUUCAAAGAGUCGGAUUGUUUGGGAAUGCAGUCCAAAAUGGGUGGUAAAUUUCAUCUAAAGCUAAAUAUUGGCGAGAGACCGAUAGCGAACAAGUACCGUGAGGGAAAGAUGAAAAGAACUUUGAAAAGAGAGUUAAACAGUACGUGAAAUUGUCAAAAGGGAAGCGUUUGACGCCAGUGUUGUUUUCUCGAAAAUCAAUUAAAAAGAGUUGGAUUUUGUGUUGUAUUGACUUUAUCAGCUUUCUUCACUCUUUUCCAGCUUUUUUUAAUGCACUUUUCGUUUAACAAGUCAACAUCAGUUUCUUUUGUUGUAGAAAGGUCAUUGGAAGGUGGCUUUCUCUUCGGAGAAAGUGUUUAUAGCCUUUGACUCAUGCAAUCGGAGAGACUGAGGUCUGCAGCGUAGAUCCUUCGGGGUUAGAUACAUUUGUGCUAAGUUAUAGCUUUUCAUAGACAACUUGUUGACUAUGUUUAGUCUUGUAGCUUACUCGCUUAUGCUAUUUUACCUACGCUUAGGAUGUUGAACUCUAUCACACACAG